UACGUAGGGGGCAAGCGUUGUCCGGAUUCAUUGGGCGUAAAGAGCGUGUAGGCGGCCAGGUAGGUCGGUUGUGAAAACUGGAGGCUCAACCUUCAGAGGUCGACCGAAACCAUCUGGCUAGAGUCCGGGAGAGGAGAGUGGAAUUCCUGGUGUAGCGGUGAAAUGCGCAGAUAUCAGGAAGAACACCCGUGGCGAAAGCGGCUCUCUGGAACGGUACUGACGCUGAGACGCGAAAGCGUGGGGAGCGAACAGGAUUAGAACUACCGAGUCAG
RNAcentral lists this ribosomal RNA (272 nucleotides) under uncultured bacterium. Its description in RNAcentral is "partial 16S ribosomal RNA". It matches the Rfam family "Bacterial small subunit ribosomal RNA", at positions 524 to 793 of the family's 1533-position model. The record is from RNAcentral.